CAUUUCAAGCUGAACAGGUAACCUCUAGGUUUAAAUUCUCUAAUGUUGCUUCUCAGGUUGCUGAAAAUCUUGAGAAAAUUUUUGUUUUGGUUGGUACAAUUGUUGGUGUAGAGUCUGUCACACCUCUUUUUUACCUACACCCCGCAAGGGCGUAAAAGCAUUUUUUCAAAUAAAGGACAAUCAAAAUAGAAUUUAUUAUUAAAAUUUAGAGUCGUCACUUGGGAGAUUUAUGGUGUCCCAUGUCACGGGUUGAAUCCCAAAUCAAGGAAAUUAUUGACUCUGUUUAACAGUCCGUAAACCAGAAAUCUGAGUAAGGAAUUCUGUUAACCCGGGAGAAGGUGUUAACUCUAUUUGGCUUAUUUAUCUAAUUUUGAUACAUGUAUUAGUGUAUGUGCUUUUUAAAUUUGAACAUCUUUUUUUAUUAGUAUUUUUUAAAGAGAAUUUUAACGUCGUAAAAAUACGUCUCGAACCACGUCUCAUAAAUGCACCCGUGAUUUUUGACACAUUUCAAUUUCUUGAAAUUUAGAUUUGGGUCACAUAAAUGUGCACCCAAAUUUAUGAAAGUAAUAUUAUUAAAUGUCGGGCCUAAAGUAACCACCAUAUUAUUAAAUUUGCGGGAAGCCAUGAAAUUCAUUAAAUGGCACGUCCCGAGGUCUACAUAUUUUUUUAUAGAAAAACAAUUAAGAGGGCCAUGCAUUUGUGAUUUUGUUUGGCGCGGCGCACCUCAAUUUUAUUUAAAGAUAUCCUAAAACAAACUAUUAUUUUCUAUCGAAUUUUUCUCUAAAAGUGUCUAAUUAAUUAGUAUUGUUUA
Molecule: long non-coding RNA, 811 nt
Filed under: Nicotiana benthamiana
Lineage: Eukaryota; Viridiplantae; Streptophyta; Magnoliopsida; Solanales; Solanaceae
Description: long non-coding RNA (NBEN_LNC019308)
Source: RNAcentral